Molecule: ribosomal RNA, 250 nt
Filed under: uncultured bacterium
Lineage: Bacteria
Also listed under: 1 other name
Description: partial 16S ribosomal RNA
Rfam family: Bacterial small subunit ribosomal RNA
Source: RNAcentral
UACGUAGGUGGCAAGCGUUGUCCGGAUUUAUUGGGCGUAAAGGGAGCGCAGGUGGUGAUUUAAGUCUGAUGUGAAAGCCCACGGCUCAACCGUGGAAGGUCAUUGGAAACUGGAUCACUUGAGUGCAGAAGAGGAAAGCGGAAUUCCAUGUGUAGCGGUGAAAUGCGUAGAUAUAUGGAGGAACACCAGUGGCGAAAGCGGCUUUCUGGUCUGACACUGACACUGAGGCUCGAAAGCGUGGGGAGCAAAC